RNAcentral lists this ribosomal RNA (497 nucleotides) under uncultured bacterium. Its description in RNAcentral is "partial 16S ribosomal RNA". It matches the Rfam family "Bacterial small subunit ribosomal RNA", at positions 28 to 507 of the family's 1533-position model. The record is from RNAcentral.
GAUGAACGCUGGCGGCGUGCCUAAUACAUGCAAGUCGAGCGAACGGACGAGAAGCUUGCUUCUCUGAUGUUAGCGGCGGACGGGUGAGUAACACGUGGAUAACCUACCUAUAAGACUGGGAUAACUUCGGGAAACCGGAGCUAAUACCGGAUGAUAUUUUGAACCGCAUGGUUCAAAAGUGAAAGACGGUCUUGCUGUCACUUAUAGAUGGAUCCGCGCUGCAUUAGCUAGUUGGUAAGGUAACGGCUUACCAAGGAAACGAUGCGUAGCCGACCUGAGAGGGUGAUCGGCCACACUGGAACUGAGACACGGUCCAGACUCCUACGGGAGGCAGCAGUAGGGAAUCUUCCGCAAUGGGCGAAAGCCUGACGGAGCAACGCCGCGUGAGUGAUGAAGGUCUUCGGAUCGUAAAACUCUGUUAUUAGGGAAGAACAUAUGUGUAAGUAACUGUGCACAUCUUGACGGUACCUAAUCAGAAAGCCACAGCUAACUACGUG